UUCGGGUUCCGGGGGGAGUAUGGUCGCAAGGCCGAAACUUAAAGGAAUUGACGGAAGGGCACCACCAGGAGUGGAAUCUGCGGCUUAAUUUGACAACGCGGGAAAACUCACCAGGUCAGGACACGGUAAGGAUUGACGGACUGAAGGCUCUUUCUCGAUUCCGUGGAAAGUGGUGCAUGGCCGUUUUUGGUUGGUGGAUCGAUCCGUCUGGUUAAUUCCGUUAACGAACGAGACCUCGGCACUCCGAAUAGCGCGGCGGACGUCGCGGCCUCCGGGCCGUCUUCCGCACGAGCUUCUUAGAGGGACCGUCCCCCGCCGGGGAAGGAGGUGCGAGGCAACGACAGGUCUGUGAUGCCCUUAGAUGUUCUGGGCCGCACGCGCAUUACACUGACGCGUCCAACGGGUGACUCCCGACCCGAAGGGGCCGGGGAAUCCGCAAGGCGCGUCGUGAUGGGGAUUGAACGUUGCAAUUGUUGUUCACGAACGAG
This 488-nucleotide ribosomal RNA is filed under the name uncultured eukaryote. RNAcentral's name for it is "bacterial SSU rRNA". It matches the Rfam family "Eukaryotic small subunit ribosomal RNA", at positions 1106 to 1607 of the family's 1831-position model. The record is from RNAcentral.